RNAcentral lists this ribosomal RNA (788 nucleotides) under Halomonas sp. BAB-1820. Its description in RNAcentral is "bacterial SSU rRNA". It matches the Rfam family "Bacterial small subunit ribosomal RNA", at positions 721 to 1508 of the family's 1533-position model. Lineage: Bacteria; Pseudomonadati; Pseudomonadota; Gammaproteobacteria; Oceanospirillales; Halomonadaceae. The record is from RNAcentral.
GCGGCUUCUGGACUGACACUGACGCUGAGGUGCGAAAGCGUGGGUAGCAAACAGGAUUAGAUACCCUGGUAGUCCACGCCGUAAACGAUGUCGACUAGCCGUUGGGUCCUUCGCGGACUUUGUGGCGCAGUUAACGCGAUAAGUCGACCGCCUGGGGAGUACGGCCGCAAGGUUAAAACUCAAAUGAAUUGACGGGGGCCCGCACAAGCGGUGGAGCAUGUGGUUUAAUUCGAUGCAACGCGAAGAACCUUACCUACCCUUGACAUCCUGCGAACCCUUCGGAGACGAAGGGGUGCCUUCGGGAACGCAGAGACAGGUGCUGCAUGGCUGUCGUCAGCUCGUGUUGUGAAAUGUUGGGUUAAGUCCCGUAACGAGCGCAACCCUUGUCCCUAUUUGCCAGCGAUUCGGUCGGGAACUCUAGGGAGACUGCCGGUGACAAACCGGAGGAAGGUGGGGACGACGUCAAGUCAUCAUGGCCCUUACGGGUAGGGCUACACACGUGCUACAAUGGUCGGUACAAAGGGUUGCGAGCUCGCGAGGGCAAGCCAAUCCCAGAAAGCCGAUCUCAGUCCGGAUCGGAGUCUGCAACUCGACUCCGUGAAGUCGGAAUCGCUAGUAAUCGUGAAUCAGAAUGUCACGGUGAAUACGUUCCCGGGCCUUGUACACACCGCCCGUCACACCAUGGGAGUGGACUGCACCAGAAGUGGUUAGCCUAACCUUCGGGAGGGCGAUCACCACGGUGUGGUUCAUGACUGGGGUGAAGUCGUAACAAAGGGUAACCAUAGAGU